Sapajus apella (tufted capuchin) is the source of this 319-nucleotide long non-coding RNA. RefSeq lists it as uncharacterized. Lineage: Eukaryota; Metazoa; Chordata; Mammalia; Primates; Cebidae. The transcript is spliced from 2 exons. The record is from RefSeq and is a predicted model, not a curated record.
AGCCAUUCUGCCUCAGCCUCCUGAGUAGCUGGGACUACAGACCUAAGCCCCAUGCCCUGGGUAAAGGGGGAGCCACCUCGCAUUUGUGCCCCUGCCGUCUCGGCCUUGUGUGGAGGACAGACAGCAUGGAGGGCAAGAGUCUAAUCCCCCAAGGUCAAAAAAUCCCAUGUAGAACCAGAGGCAGUAGUGCAUGCCUGUAGUCUCAGCUACUCUGGAGGCUGAGGCGGGAGGAUCACGUGAGCCCAGGAGUUCAAGGCUGCAGUGCACUAUGUUCGUACCACUGCACUGCAGCUUGGGUAGCAGAGCAAGAACCCAUUUC